Molecule: long non-coding RNA, 6076 nt
Filed under: Sus scrofa (pig)
Lineage: Eukaryota; Metazoa; Chordata; Mammalia; Artiodactyla; Suidae
Description: lncRNA (ENSSSCG00030018541.1)
Source: RNAcentral
GAGGUAGCUGUUAUUAACCCCAUUUUACAGACAAGGAGCCACAGACUCCAAUGAGUCCAAUGAGUAAUGUCACUGAACGGUUUCAAAUCCAAUACUUUUUCUACUUCUCUAGCUUGCCUGAGGGAAGGACUAGAGAGGGCGAAGUGGGUAGACUGAGAUGGAGAUGAGCUGAGAAAGAAGGGGAAUCCCUGCAUCAGGGAGAGAGAAAGCCCACCGAGAGAUGCAAGGCCUGGUUGCAGGGGCUGCAGGGUUGGGAUCAGAGGAGGAAAAACACCAGGAUUUUUGUGUAUUUGCGAUCUGCUGAGGCUCAUCCACGUGAGACUUAGAACCACUAUUACCCACACAAUGGGCUUAUAUUGUUAUCGUUGUAUCCCAUUGGCAUAUUUGACCACAGGAUCUCCAAAAGAGAAUAGAGGCCCUGAGGGAACUGGGGGGUUAAGGGUUUCCAUCCUACAAAAUAAGCACCUCAGUGGGAAGGGGGAAUAGAAGCCAGGUGGGAUGUGGGGUGAGAGUUUGUGUCUGCCUCGUGUGUACAUAUGGUGUGUGGGUGUGUGGAUGGGGUUGUCAGGAGAUUGAUGGGUGAUAGUGUUUGUGAGCUGUGUGUGUCUGCUUAUGAGGGUGAGAAGCUGAGUGGUGUCUGACCUGGUAUGAGAUUAGAUGUGUGUGGUCCAUGAUGGGUAGGAAGUUCAGAUGUGAGAUUAGGGAUGCCUGGCUACUUAUAGCUAUAAGUCCACUAGAGGAAGAGGCACUGUGGGAUUUGUUUUUUUGUUGUUGUUGUUGUUUUAUUUGUUUGUUUGUUUUUACCAAAUGCAAUCACAGUGAAACACUGAGUCCUCCUCCUUCUGCUUCCUUCAACCUUUAUACCAAAUAGCACCUCCUCUAGCUAAAAAUAGGAGAACUGGUGGAAUGGGGGUGCAUAGAGCCUGGGUGCAAAAGGACUCAGAAGAUCCUCACCAAUUACCAGUUAGGAAAAUUUCUCUUUUGUAUCAUUACACUUCUGUCUGUGUCCAAUAAUUUUUAGUUUUGUUCCUCAGAUAUUGCAAUAUCCACCUAUUCCUAUUGGAAAACAAAUUCUUUACCCAUUUCUCUCCUCAGCUUUUUAGCCCAAUACUUUCCCUUAUUGACUUCUGAGUCCAGUAGUUCAAAGGCAAUUUUCUUCUCAAUAUUUGUCUCAAGUUUUGCAUUUUCACUCCUACUCUCACUCUGGGACAGAUUUUUCCCAAUUCUAAGCAUCAAAAGAUUCUUGUUGAAAAGUCCUUCACAAUCAGCAAGCAUAGGGAAUGAAAAAGAACAAGCAAGGGUGACUGAAGCAAAGUGUAUGUUUAGGUGCCAUUAUGUACCAGCCUCAGAUCAGAUAUUUGUGUAAUGGGGUUAAGAAUGUAUAUCUCCAGUGUUGUUACAUGAAGCAAAUGAAGAAUUCUAUAUAAAAGAUUCUAUAAUAUGUUAUGAUACCCACAGGGAAAGAGUAAAUCUUAGAUUGCAGAUGGGUUAAAGGCUACAUUUAGGGAAAAUUGUUUGAAAGCAUGUGAUUGAUCUCAGAAUGCAAAAAGGACAGCUCUUUGCCAUAUUCUCCACUGCAGAUCUCAAAACAUUUAAACUUGAGGAAGUUCCUACUUUUCCAGCUUUGGAGUCAAGGAGGGCCUCUUGAAACCUGAGGAAGCAGUAUCUGAAGCCUGAGGAGAGGAGGAGCAGACCCUGGGAAAGCUGUUAAGGGAAGAGGCUGGAGUCCACGUGGCAGAAUAACCAUUGUGUUUUUCUCCCUAAUACAUCUUACCAUGUAUUGCCAUGUAUUGGUAAGAGCACUUAUGGUUGGUAAACUGACUUACAUAGAUGGAGAGAUAUGGCAAUUCCAAGUUUAUUCUAUUAAGCUUCUAGAGUUACUAAAAAGUUUAUUAAAGGACCAGGUAGGUAGUGGGUAUAAUUAACGAACCAAAUGCAGAUCUGCCUAUCGGCAUGCAGAUUCUUCUUCACCAGGUGACUUUAAGAAGGUGUAUUUUCUAUCCUCUUGCCUCCCAGCCUCCCAACCUUCCCAAAAGUCAACUCUUUUUUUUUUUUUCUUUUUUUUCUUAAUGGCUGCACCUGCGGCAUAUUAAUGUUCUUUGGCCAGGGAGUGAAUCCAAGCUGUAGUUUUGAUCACCACAGCUGCAGCAAUGCUGGAUCCUAUAACCCGCUGAGCCUGGCCAGGUAGUGAACUCAUGCCUCUGCAAUGACCUGAGCUACUGCAAUAUUAAUCCACUGUGCCACAGUCACCAACCCUUGAUUCCCAAGGUUGGUAACUCACCAGAGCACAGGUCCAUGUGCAUUCUUCUGUAUCUGGAAGUCCUUCAUGAAGUAUGUGCUUCCCAAGGUUUGGGAGUUGAAUAGUGAUAAUUAUUUCUUCACUUUCUUUCCACCCAGAUGUUCUGGGGAUGUUUGACCUUCCCUUCUUCUUCCUUCUCAAUAGACACCCCGGGGAUCUUGAGCCAUCAGUGCCCUGUCUCACCCAGAGGCAGGGUGUGCCAACUUCCCUGGGAGUUAAAUAAGUUUAGGUUAAUGCUUUAAAAUCAUUGGAGGGAAAGAGAGGGAAAACCAUAAUUUGAGAAUACAUAUAUAUUCUCAGAGCUUCCAGGAGAAGGAGGAGCAGGGUUAUGGAAGGUAAGAGCGGGUCCGUGAAUAUUUAGAUAGGAGAGAGAGAUUUAGAUAUUUAGAUAGGAGAGAAAAGGGGAACCCUUCCUUGCCACCCAGGCUCUCCCAGGGCUCAGAGUGACACCCCCCCUCCUCCUGCCCUAAUCCCCCCAUUAAGACUGCUCUGAGUUUGUUAUGACAGCGGCUGAAGGCAGCUGAAUUGCUGUUUGCUGUGUCUGCUAAUUGGACUGAAGGGUUGGAAUCUGGACACUGAAAGAGACCAUUGUUGCUGUUUACCUUCCACAACUGCCUCCCUGGGGACCUUCUGGGUGAAGGGGAACAGCAAGCCCUCAGGGUCAUCGCACCCAUUCCCUGUCUCUGCACAAGGGGCUGGGGGUAGAGGGAUAGUUCACCUGUUUGCCUUUGAGUGGUUUGAACUUCUAUGGCACAGAAGAGACAAGCCCAACACCUGAGUCGGUCUCCAGGCCAGGCUUGGGGCCAUUGGGAACUCCUAAGAGGGGGGGGGGUUACAUGCUUGUCCUUCUCUUCCCUAUUCAUUUCCUUCAUCAGGGGCCCUAGCGUUGCCUCUUCCUCCAGCUGAUCAGGCUUAAUCCCUGAAAAUUUUCUUAUCUGCUUUCUUCCAGAUCACUGAUUCUCAACUUGUUUAUGCACUAAUAUCACCUAGAAAGCUUUUUUAAAAAAUGCUGAUGUUGGGGUUCAGUUGAGUAUCUGAGAAUGAGGCCUACCAUCAUAUCAUUUAAAAGAUCCCUUGGUGGAGUUCCCAUCGUGGCACAGCAGAAAUGAAUCCAACUACAAACCAUGAGGUUGUGGGUUCGAUCCCUGGCCUUGCUCAGUCGGUUAAGGAUCUGGCAUUGCUGUGGCUGUGGCAUAGGCCAGCAGCUGUAGCUUCCGAUUGGGCCCCUAGCCUGGGAACCUCCAUAUGCCAUGAUGCAGCCUUAAAAAAUUACAUAAUUAAUUAAUUAAAAGAUCCCUUAGUGUUUCUAAAUGUGCAGCUAAGGUUAAGAACCACUGAUAUAAGCUCAUCUCUCUGCCUAGGAAACACACACACAUACACAGGCACACACGUACCCUUUCCUACCUUCCCUACUUUCUGCUGUCCCCAAGCUCCUAAUAGCUAUAAUACUAUCAGAUGAUUGUGUAUCUUCCUCAUCUUUAUUUCUAAAUUCCUUGUAGGAGCCGUAGGAUUUAGAGGUUUGUAACCUGUCAACUACUUUAACCUGAACCCUAUUGCAAGGGCAGGAACUCCAUCUCCCUGUGGAUUUCCAAGUAGGAUCCAGAUGAGGGCAGAGCUAAUCCAGGACACUCAAGUCAUUAGGGGUGAAGGAGUGUGAAGUUCGGAGUUUGACUCUUGGUCUCUUCCUCCCACAAAGUAGUAUUGGCAAUUUGGAGAGCUUCAGAGAGAAGAAACUUUCAGCAGAAAUACACCUGCCCCUUUCCCUACCAUUUCCAAAUGUUUCUGCCUCUUCUCUUUCCUUUAGCUUCUUGCCUGGGACAGGUGGGUGCUCCACCUCCCUUCCCCUCCCUUUCCUCCUCAAGGGCACCAGAGCCGUAUCCAGAACCAUGGACAGCUCCCAGGCGAGCCCAAAAGAGUGGGAAAGAUGUGACCAAAGUCACUCAGCGGGUUAAUGGAAAGGCCAAGAUCCAGGCUUCUAAUUUCCAGCUUCUUAAGGAGUCUCCUUGCCUGAAUUGGUUGGAACAGGCAUAUUGCUGGUAGGAGAGUUCAAGGUUGCCUCCAUACCAAAAAGGACAGGAUGCAUGUCUGGACAUAUGAGGUGUGCACACAAGCCAGGGAGAGGUGGAACUGACUGCUAUCUCUGUCUGGAGAAGUUUGAAGGGGUCGCCUCAGGGAGAAGCACAGGGUAAGGCAUACCUAACAGUAGCUGGCAAGCCCAUGGGAGAAAAGGCAAGGAGGCAACCAUCUGCCAGGGCAAAGAGGCCAGUAGAUGGCCACAAUGAGUCUCCAGAGGCCAGCAAGAGUCACACAAACUGGAACAGGGCCUGGGAAAGGCCCUUCUGUGUGCCCAGUCCUGCUCCCCCAACACCGCAAGCCUAGAAACAAAGGGGCCAUUCUCUGUAGGAUUUGAUGCCGCAAUCUCCGGCUGGCAGUGCCAGGUGGUGGGGGCAUCAGGGGGUGUCAACCCAUUAUGCCCCCCCCCACCUCUCUAGGUCCUCUGGGGCUGGAUGUUGUGGAGGUGGGUGUUCCAUGCCAUGUUGCCAUGGCAACCACCCCAACCCCCACCUUCCAAAGCACAAAGAGAGACAGCUCUCACCCCCACCCCCAGGAAGAAUCUGGGUCUGGUUGGGAAUCUUCCCUUGGGAAUCCUCCUUUCUGAUGCACAAGCCAUGGCAUGUAUCACCCUCUUUUCAGCACCCGGAGCUGAAGGUUCAGCCAUUGGCAGACCAUACAGGCAGGGAGGUUGGUACAUCCAGAGUCUCUGGGCAAGGUUGUGCCAGUGAGUCCCUUAUACUUAACCCUCUCCCCGCCUCCCAAGCUCUCCUGUCCCUCACCUAUAGCCAAGGCCAUCCUAUGCCUUUUCAGCUGAAGCGAGGAGGUCUUGACCUUCUGCUCUUUCCCAGAAGUGAAGGACACCUCACUACUCCCAGCAAGCUUCCAGGCUGUGGGAAGAGAAGAGAGGGCCAUUCCUGCCACCCUUCAUCUGCACCCUCCGCCAUUACUCAUUAGGCAUUCUGCCCCCUCCUUCCGCUCGUUAAGCCUGAUUUGCAUAUAUUUGCAUAAUACAACUCAUUUGCAUUCCAGGAGGCUCUUGGUAGGAGCCAGGAAAAAAGGGGAGGGGGGUUAGAGAAGAGAAAAAAGGGGAGAGAUUUUGUUUGCAUCAAAGUGUGUGUGGUGGGGGGGUGGCAGGAAGAAGAUAGAAAUAAAAACUCACACUACUUUCUUUCUUCCCUUCUGCCCUCCCUCCCUUAGCUGGACUCAGAUGCCAAAGAGAGAUGCCAAGGGGCCUGCUUUUUUAUCCUUUUUUGUCUUGCUUCCUCCGGCCUUGGCUCCCCAGCCUGGCCCCCCACCUUGCUGGGCUCAGGCUUCAGAAAAAAAGGGACAGGGGUAGGAGGCAAGGCUGUGGGAACGGAAGCGGAGGGAGAGGGAGGCCACUAUCUUAGGUAGCCGGUGCCUGGAAAAGGGCCUCCUGCAUCAGGUGUGGGCUGCCAGCCAGCCCGGGGUCAGUGGCCGUGGCGGGAGGUGAGGCCCUGAGGAGGGGUUUCCAGCUGAUCAGGACCAUUGCUGAGUCUUCCUACUAGCAGAACUGGGGGAAAAGGAUGGAGAGAGAAGGGAGGAGGGAGAGAUGGGGGAUGGUGGCCCCAGAAGAGACAUGAGCCACAUUUAGGAGUAGGUGUUGUGGGAGGACUUCUGCCUGAGGUUUGGUUCCAGACCCCUCAUGAGUUCCAGUGUCAGAGGACUUGGAGCACUAUGCAUAAUAUUAAAAAAAAAAAAAAA